Molecule: long non-coding RNA, 588 nt
Organism: Perca flavescens (yellow perch)
Lineage: Eukaryota; Metazoa; Chordata; Actinopteri; Perciformes; Percidae
Exons: 3
Source: RefSeq, a predicted model, not a curated record
GAUGUGGGACCAGGUAAGAGUGGACCAUGGGAAGGAGUUCUACCUUACUCUUUACAUGCAGGAGAAAUUGACCAGCCACCGCCACAACACCGAGAGGCCACCAUAUAUGCAAACACCAUCAACAAAGAAUCACAAUAUUGACAGAAUUUGCCCUGAAAUCAACAAUAGGGUGAACUACCCUUUGAAAGUGGCAGUGGUCCAACUGGUGGAUCAGGAGGCGUUGGAUAUGGAGGACAGCAUGUUCAAAUUCUGUGCGUCAUCCUUGACAUGCCAGUUGGCUCGGCUUGAAAUUGACCGUGUUGUGCAAGCGUGGAAUGCCCACAGGAUUCCCGGAAUGGGAAUCUCCAGUUACUUGGCCAGAGAGGGAUGCCCAAAACGUGUAUCCACAGACCUUUUGCCAGAGUCAUCAGUGGCUUCAGACUGGUAUGAGCAAGAGGUGGGAUCAUUGACAAGAGUGUCACACUUUGGCACCAACCCCUUUCAGAGUGCAGGACCAGGAAGCUGCAGAGAGGGAAUUUGCUCUGCAAUGGCCAGAUGUGAGUGUAAUUUUGGACAAUGCUGUCAACAAUCAGCCAGAAAAUAAGGAAA